AGUGGACAGCGGCUGCAAAUGACGGUGUGCGGAGUUCGUAUACCUGUUGCAUUUGGGAUUUCACUCUGAGAAUGGGAAGGAAUCGACGAUGGAUUUCUAUACAGCACGAAGCUCCACUAUCUGGGCCUGAAGACUUCCUAUGGCGAGCAUCGAGCUGGAGCUAUGCCACGCACUCAAAGGCAACGCAGAAGGCAUCUGCAAGCAGCCAGUCAUUCCAAUUAUCAACCAAUCCUUGCUCUAGUGAGACCAUUUCGAACGUGUAGUAAUUCAAAUUCUUUUGUCAGUAAAGCACAAUAAACACAAGUUUGUUCAGA
Dermacentor andersoni is the source of this 314-nucleotide long non-coding RNA. RefSeq lists it as uncharacterized. The record is from RefSeq and is a predicted model, not a curated record. Lineage: Eukaryota; Metazoa; Arthropoda; Arachnida; Ixodida; Ixodidae.